AUUUUAAAUGCAGUGAUUUGGCCGAAUCAUUAGCAUGGUUGGCAAAAUGUUUGGCAGCAUUUCUUCCAUCUUUAUGUGCCGUGUUCAAAUUCCACAAAGGUUGUCUUUGUCUUUCAUCUUUUCAGGGCCGAUAAAAUAAGUACCAGUUGAGUAUAGGGUUGA
Molecule: long non-coding RNA, 162 nt
Organism: Octopus sinensis (East Asian common octopus)
Lineage: Eukaryota; Metazoa; Mollusca; Cephalopoda; Octopoda; Octopodidae
Exons: 3
Source: RefSeq, a predicted model, not a curated record